This 253-nucleotide ribosomal RNA is filed under the name uncultured bacterium. RNAcentral's name for it is "partial 16S ribosomal RNA". It matches the Rfam family "Bacterial small subunit ribosomal RNA", at positions 524 to 776 of the family's 1533-position model. The record is from RNAcentral.
UACGUAGGGGGCAAACGUUGUCCGGAUUUACUGGGUGUAAAGGGCGCGUAGGCGGGUUUGUAAGUCAGAGGUGAAAUCCCGCGGCUCAACCGCAGAACUGCCUUUGAUACUGCAAAUCUUGAGUACAGAAGAGAGAAGCAGAAUUCCAGGUGUAGUAGUGAAAUACGUAGAUAUCUGGAAGAAUACCGGCGGCGAAGGCGGCUUCUUGGUCUGUAACUGACGCUGAGGCGCGAAAGCGUGGGUAGCAAACAGG